GACGAACGCUGGCGGCGUGCUUAACACAUGCAAGUCGAACGGAAAGGCCCUGCUUGCAGGGUACUCGAGUGGCGAACGGGUGAGUAACACGUGGGUGAUCUGCCCUGCACUUCGGGAUAAGCCUGGGCAACUGGGUCUAAUACCGGAUAGGAGCCAUUUUUAGUGUGAUGGUUGGAAAGUUUUUUCGGUGUAGGAUGAGCUCGCGGCCUAUCAGCUUGUUGGUGGGGUAAUGGCCUACCAAGGCGGCGACGGGUAGCCGGCCUGAGAGGGUGGACGGCCACAUUGGGACUGAGAUACGGCCCAGACUCCGACGGGAGGCAGCAGUGGGGAAGAUUGCACAAUGGGCGCAAGCCUGAUGCAGCGACGCCGCGUGGGGGAUGACGGCCUUCGGGUUGUAAACUCCUUUCGCUAGGGACGAAGCUUUUUGUGACGGUACCUAGAUAAGAAGCACCGGCUAACUACGUG
RNAcentral lists this ribosomal RNA (465 nucleotides) under uncultured bacterium. RNAcentral describes it as "partial 16S ribosomal RNA". It matches the Rfam family "Bacterial small subunit ribosomal RNA", at positions 28 to 507 of the family's 1533-position model. The record is from RNAcentral.